RNAcentral lists this unclassified non-coding RNA (291 nucleotides) under Hevea brasiliensis (rubber tree). Lineage: Eukaryota; Viridiplantae; Streptophyta; Magnoliopsida; Malpighiales; Euphorbiaceae. The record is from RNAcentral.
GGAAUUAGCAAUCAUUUAUUUACUGCAUGUCAAUUUCAAGUUAUUGUACUUAAUGAGGCACUUUAUCCCUUCUAUGCUUCAAGAGUAGGAUUUUAAAACAUUAAAACAUUAUAUGAUAUGUUUUAAAACAUUAAAAAUAUCUGCCUUUUUCUUAAAGCAAAAGAGAGAACUUUCAUUGUGGAUAUCUAUAUGAUAUACGCAACAAAAUAUCCUCAAAUCUAAAAUGCCAAUAUGAAAAUAUUUCCUCAUAGUAGUACUAAUUAGCUUAGUCAAAAUUCUUGGCAAAAUUUU